RNAcentral lists this ribosomal RNA (260 nucleotides) under uncultured bacterium. Its description in RNAcentral is "partial 16S ribosomal RNA". It matches the Rfam family "Bacterial small subunit ribosomal RNA", at positions 92 to 354 of the family's 1533-position model. The record is from RNAcentral.
CGACCGGCGCACGGGUGAGUAACACGUAUGCAACCUGCCCGUCUCAGAGGGAUAAUCGUCGGAAACGGCGUCUAAUACCCCGUAUGAAGCUGGACGGCAUCGUCUGGUUUUGAAAGAAUAUCGGAGACGGAUGGGCAUGCGGCGCAUUAGCUAGUUGGCGGGGUAACGGCCCACCAAGGCGACGAUGCGUAGGGGUUCUGAGAGGAAGGUCCCCCACACUGGUACUGAGACACGGACCAGACUCCUACGGAAGGCAGCAG